GUCAGAUUCAUUCACCAAACAAGCUGCAUGCAAGGAAGAACAGCAAGAUCCACUCUACAAGUUUCUCCGAACACACCAAUGGGACAGAGAGUACAGGGACAGGUUCAUCCCAGACGUCGAUGUCGAACUGUACCGACCGAUCAUGCAGAAGAUGACUCGGAGGAGCCAACACCAGGACCAAGCCAAACCAAGGAAAAUAAAAAGGGAGAGUCCAAACAAGUGUGAAGAGUGCUUGAAACUCCGCAUGUCAACAUCUCCGCUCGGUGCCACACCCACGAAAUGCCCAAGCAACCAUUUCCACAUCAACACCGUAUGAAAAAAAUAGUCAACAGAAGGAGAUAACGUCCGCAG
Molecule: long non-coding RNA, 351 nt
Organism: Entelurus aequoreus (snake pipefish)
Lineage: Eukaryota; Metazoa; Chordata; Actinopteri; Syngnathiformes; Syngnathidae
Exons: 3
Source: RefSeq, a predicted model, not a curated record